This 253-nucleotide ribosomal RNA is filed under the name uncultured bacterium. RNAcentral describes it as "partial 16S ribosomal RNA". It matches the Rfam family "Bacterial small subunit ribosomal RNA", at positions 524 to 776 of the family's 1533-position model. The record is from RNAcentral.
UACGGGGGGGGCAAGCGUUGUUCGGAAUUACUGGGCGUAAAGGGCUCGUAGGCGGCCAACUAAGUCAGACGUGAAAUCCCUCGGCUUAACCGGGGAACUGCGUCUGAUACUGGAUGGCUAGAGGUUGGGAGAGGGAUGCGGAAUUCCAGGUGUAGCGGUGAAAUGCGUAGAUAUCUGGAGGAACACCGGUGGCGAAGGCGGCAUCCUGGACCGGCAUUGACGCUAAAGCGCGAAAGCCAGGGGAGCAAACGGG